ACUGCGAUAGCUCAUCUGGCAGAGCAUCUGCCCGGUAUGCGUAGAGUCUCCGGUUCAAUUCCGGCUCGCGGAC
Molecule: transfer RNA, 73 nt
Filed under: Fasciola hepatica (liver fluke)
Lineage: Eukaryota; Metazoa; Platyhelminthes; Trematoda; Plagiorchiida; Fasciolidae
Rfam family: tRNA
About the family: Transfer RNA (tRNA) molecules are approximately 80 nucleotides in length.
Source: Rfam by way of RNAcentral